AGUGAACGCUGGCGGUAGGCCUAACACAUGCAAGUCGAACGGCAGCACAGUAAGAGCUUGCUCUUACGGGUGGCGAGUGGCGGACGGGUGAGGAAUACAUCGGAAUCUACUUUUUCGUGGGGGAUAACGUAGGGAAACUUACGCUAAUACCUCAUACGACCUACGGGUGAAAGCAUGGUAUCUUCGGACCUUGCGCGAUUGAAUGAGCCGAUGUCGGAUUAGCUAGUUGGCGGGGUAAAGGCCCACCAAGGCGACGAUCCGUAGCUGGUCUGAGAGGAUGAUCAGCCACACUGGAACUGAGACACGGUCCAGACUCCUACGGGAGGCAGCAGUGGGGAAUAUUGGACAAUGGGCGAAAGCCUGAUCCAGCAAUACCGCGUGGGUGAAGAAGGCCUUCGGGUUGUAAAGCCCUUUUGUUGGGAAAGAAAAGCAGCAGGUUAAUACCCCGCUGUUCUGACGGUACCCAAAGAAUAAGCACCGGCUAACUUCGUG
RNAcentral lists this ribosomal RNA (492 nucleotides) under uncultured bacterium. RNAcentral's name for it is "partial 16S ribosomal RNA". It matches the Rfam family "Bacterial small subunit ribosomal RNA", at positions 29 to 507 of the family's 1533-position model. The record is from RNAcentral.